This 454-nucleotide ribosomal RNA is filed under the name uncultured bacterium. Its description in RNAcentral is "partial 16S ribosomal RNA". It matches the Rfam family "Bacterial small subunit ribosomal RNA", at positions 341 to 792 of the family's 1533-position model. The record is from RNAcentral.
ACGGGAGGCAGCAGUGAGGAAUAUUGGUCAAUGGACGGAAGUCUGAACCAGCCAAGUCGCGUGAAGGAUGAAGGUAUUAUGUAUUGUAAACUUCUUUAGCAGUGGAGUAAUAAGGGGAUCGCGAUCCCUGAUGCAAGUACACUGAGAAUAAGGAUCGGCUAACUCCGUGCCAGCAGCCGCGGUAAUACGGAGGAUCCGAGCGUUAUCCGGAUUUAUUGGGUUUAAAGGGAGCGUAGGCGGGAUGUCAAGUCAGCUGUGAAAUGUAGUCGCUCAACGUCUGCACUGCAGUUGAAACUGGUGUUCUUGAGUGCGUAAGAGGCAGGUGGAAUUCGUCGUGUAGCGGUGAAAUGCAUAGAUAUGACGAAGAACUCCGAUUGCGAAGGCAGCCUGCUGGGCCGCUACUGACGCUGAAGCUCGAAGGUGCGGGUAUCAAACAGGAUUAGAUACCCUGGUA